UAACAAGGUUUCCGUAGGUGAACCUGCGGAAGGAUCAUUACCGAGUUCUCGGGCUUCGGCUCGAAUCUCCCACCCUUUGUGAACAUACCUCUGUUGCUUUGGCGGCUCUUUGCCGCGAGGAGGCCCUCGCGGGCCCCCCCGCGCGCUUUCUGCCAGAGGACCUUCAAACUCCAGUCAGUAAACGUCGACGUCUGAUAAACAAGUUAAUAAACUAAAACUUUCAACAACGGAUCUCUUGGUUCUGGCAUCGAUGAAGAACGCAGCGAAAUGCGAUAAGUAAUGUGAAUUGCAGAAUUCAGUGAAUCAUCGAAUCUUUGAACGCACAUUGCGCCCCCUGGCAUUCCGGGGGGCAUGCCUGUUCGAGCGUCAUUACAACCCUCAAGCUCUGCUUGGUAUUGGGCGCCGUCCUCUCUGCGGACGCGCCUUAAAGACCUCGGCGGUGGCUGUUCAGCCCUCAAGCGUAGUAGAAUACACCUCGCUUUGGAGCGGUUGGCGUCGCCCGCCGGACGAACCUUCUGAACUUUUCUCAAGGUUGACCUCGGAUCAGGUAGGGAUACCCGCUGAACUUAAGCAUAU
RNAcentral lists this ribosomal RNA (576 nucleotides) under Diplodia seriata. Its description in RNAcentral is "eukaryotic LSU rRNA". The stretch from base 216 to 369 matches the Rfam family "5.8S ribosomal RNA". The record is from RNAcentral. Lineage: Eukaryota; Fungi; Ascomycota; Dothideomycetes; Botryosphaeriales; Botryosphaeriaceae.